UAAAACGAUAAUACAUAAACUACUUCUCAUAUAUAAGAAUAUUGCCUCACAUUUCAAUACAACCAUAAUAGUAGGAAAAUAAGCUGUGUAUCAUUAACAAAACUACCAACCUAUAUGUUAUAUUGUGGCAAAAUUUUUGAAAUUAUGGUUUUGAAGAUAUUGUAAUAUUCGGCUUAACGGUAUUUUGCACAAUUCUUGAGUACACAUAACAAUAAGAAGAUGUACUAUGUGAUAUAUGUUUUCCACUGAGACAAAUCUCCACAAGUGACCAAAUGACACAGAAAUUAACAAAGCUUAUAGGUUACUGUACGACUUUCAACUUUUUUUAUUUCGAGAUUUGUCAGUUGCAUCG
This 352-nucleotide long non-coding RNA is filed under the name Mytilus galloprovincialis (Mediterranean mussel). Lineage: Eukaryota; Metazoa; Mollusca; Bivalvia; Mytilida; Mytilidae. The record is from RNAcentral.